CGACCCCAUGGAUUAAAAGGGAACCGGGUGAGAGUCCCGGACAGUCCCGCUGCUGUGAAGCUCCGCCAACCAUUCGGAAUUCUGUACCACUGAUCUAAGGAUCGGGAAGGUUCCGGACGGGGAGUCAGUCAGAAGACCUGCCAUCAAAUUA
This 151-nucleotide non-coding RNA is filed under the name uncultured Alistipes sp. The record is from RNAcentral. Lineage: Bacteria; Pseudomonadati; Bacteroidota; Bacteroidia; Bacteroidales; Rikenellaceae.